Molecule: ribosomal RNA, 501 nt
Filed under: uncultured bacterium
Lineage: Bacteria
Description: bacterial SSU rRNA
Rfam family: Bacterial small subunit ribosomal RNA
Source: RNAcentral
AACGAACGCUGGCGGCGCGCCUAAUACAUGCAAGUCGAGCGAGAAGACGUAGCAAUACGUUUGUAAAGCGGCGAACGGGUGAGGAAUACAUGGGUAACCUACCCUCGAGUGGGGAAUAACUAGCCGAAAGGUUAGCUAAUACCGCGUACGCUCCUUGGACUUCGGUUCAGGGAGGAAAGCGAUACCGUGGGUAUCGCGCUCUUGGAUGGGCUCAUGUCCUAUCAGCUUGUUGGUGAGGAACGGCUCACCAAGGCUUCGACGGGUAGCUGGUCUGAGAGGACGAUCAGCCACACUGGCACUGCGACACGGGCCAGACUCCUACGGGAGGCAGCAGUAAGGAAUAUUGCGCAAUGGGCGAAAGCCUGACGCAGCGACGCCGCGUGGGGGAUGAAGGUCUUCGGAUUGUAAACCCCUUUCGGGAGGGAAGAUGGAACGAGCAAUCGUUCGGACGGUACCUCCAGAAGCAGCCACGGCUAACUUCGUGCCAGCCGCCGCGGUAAG